UCGCGAUAUUCCAGGUACGGGGAGGCGGGAGACGGGGCGAAAGCGAGGGGAGUUGGAGUAAUGUUGGCGGCUUCGCUUCCGGGACCGACGCAAACACAUAAACGCCUGCGCGAGUAUAUAUAUGUACUGGCAUGGAAUGCUUGCCGUAUAUAUGUUGUGCUCCGUCCUGAGUCCCCUUCAUGACAUGUGGCUUCAUAAAAUAGUGAAGGAGAAAUCACUGUUCAAGUGCUGGCUUGUGCUUUAUUGUCUGCGUGUGUUUACCAACAUAUACAGAAAACUGCAAUUUGUUAACCUGGAAAACCAUAAAAUAAUGGGCUCUGCUCCGUGUUCUAUAAUCCAUAUAGUAUCUCUUGUCCUGGAUAAAUUUGUACCAUCAGCUAUAUUUGUGCCAUGAUAUGGCCUCACUGGUUUUCAUGUUAUUGGUUAUAACUUGUUCUCCUUCAUAGCAUAUCUUAUAGCCUCAUCCUAUGCAUAUUUACUUAGAAGGAAGUCCCCAUCAUUUCAAUUAACCUGGUUGUUAAGUACAUAUGCAUAAAAUUACAACAGCAAAUGUAAACAGAUUUAUGAAGAUAUGCUUUUGUUGACAUGAACACAUUGACAAAGGAUUGAUGGGCAUUUUGGGACUAAGCCCAGCAUGGGCUUUUUCUAGAAGUCAGUGUACAUAGUAAGAUCACUGUCAGAAAACAAGUAUAGACACCUCUCUAUUGAUGUAGUGAGUGAGUUAUUCAUGAACCAACAGCAACUGUGCAUGCUUAUGUACCAGGUUCAGUAGCAUGAUACCUGGAAGAAGUUAUAAGGAAAAAAACAUCCUAGAAAAAUCAAGAGGUUUUCUCAUCCACUGCCCAGUUAACCCCAAAGCAGAAGCUCACAAAGUAGAUGAGCCAGACAAGCUUCAUACCCUCCAAGUAUCUCAGUUGACAGGGAUAAGACCAAUGAACUCUCUGUGGCCCCACCUUUUCAGCUACUUCUUAAAUGCUCCAGUUUCUUUCUCCUCCUACCUCAUUCUCCCUCUGUCCUUGGCCUAAUUCCAUUGCUGCAGAUUGAGCUAAAAGUGAAAAAUAUUUUUAUUCAGUUAACUCAUUGCAGGGAGAAAGUGGAAUCUUGCCCUCCCCAAUAGGUUCAGGCCAAAAAAAAAAAAAACCUGCUGCAGCCUCUCCUAAAAAGCAUGUUCCUCCUCAUUUAUAUUUUCCCAUUUCAACUGCACUCCAAUGUUGUUUGGCCACCCAUGCCCCAUUUUUCAUCUCUGAGAUAGUGGGUAUAGAUUUGUCCUUACAAGUUACUCUGUAAGCUGUAUGGAAAACUGAGGCCCCAUCUAUAAUGUCAUAUAAUGCAGUUUAACUUAUAUGGUUGUGUAAACCUGUAUAAUGCAGUUAAACUACAUUAUAUAACUGCAUUAUAUGGCAGUGUAGAUGAGGCCUGAGGAGCUCUGACAGCCAGAACCUCCUCUAUACAUAGACCAAGUGUAGGAAUCGCAUAGUCUUCCAGAUGUACCCUGCAGUUGAACAACAGCUGGAGGACUGCACGGUUGCUACCCACCAAUGAAGUCUAUGGGAGUAAAAUGCUCAGAAUGAGCACCCAUAUUUCCCAAAUAGAAGUAUUAUGCAGACGUGCCUUUAGAUGUCAUUGUCUUAUAAAUAAUAAAUAAUAAAAUGCCCUGAUUGCUCACUACUCUAUGCAGUUAACUGGAAAGCUGACUUUAUGUUAUUUCACUGUGGUUUUGUUUUGAACAUGCUGUCCCGAUAACCUUUAUUCCAAUCCUUUGGUUUCCUCUGUAUCUUUGCCUGGAAGUGCUCAGGAUGCAAUCUCCAGCUUCUGGCCUCACGGGGCUUAGCAUCUACAACGGUUUCUUCAGCGACCAGGGGAGCAUGGUGCACAGUUUGCAAUCUCUCAAGGAGCCAGUUUUGCCUGUCUGCAGAAUGUAGGUGCUCUCCCAAAUUGUGCAUAAUCUGCAUUUCACUUACAGAUCUCUUCCUGUAAUGAAAACAGAUUGGGAAGGAUUAAAAACAACCUCACAGCAGUAACAAUCUAAAUUUUACUUAUAUAUCUUUGGGCGAAGCUACAUGUCACCCCAUUCACGGCCUUGUCAAUGGCCUGGAUUGUUUUCAAGGGUCUUGAGUAGACAUGUGGAGCGUGGAGUGAUCCAGAAUAAAACACUGUUAGUGAUGGAGCUUUAACCCUUUGCUUUCAGCAGCAGUUCGAAUUUUAAUGGAUCCUGCUAAGUAAAGGUAAAGGUUUUCCUCUGACAUUAAGUCUAGUCAUGUCCAACUCUGGGGGUUGGUGCUCAUCUCUAUUUCUAAGCCAAAGAGCCAGAGUUGUCUGUAGAUGCCUCCAAGGUCAUGUGACUGGAAUGACUGCAUAUCUGUUGAUCUACUCACAUUUGCAUGUUUUUGAACUGCUAGGUUGGCAGAAGCUGGGGCUAACAGCGAGCACUCACCUCACUCCCCGGAUUUGAACUGGUCAGCAAGUUCAGCAGCCCAGAGGUUUAACCUGCUGUGCCAUCUGAGACUGCAAACUGGAUAAAUCCUAUCAUAUCUACUUUGGGCAUACAGGCAACUUGCCUUCAGAAAAGUAUACACUAAAAAUUCAGUAACAACCUGUCUCUGUCUAUUGCGGUUUAAGAGACCAAGGAUUCCCUCCCAAUGAUGAGAAAUGGUUAACAACAUUUUCCUAAGUGGUUAUUUAACAAGAAAGAUAGUUUACCUUUUACAGAAUAAAAGUAAUGAGAGUCACCAUAAGCAAUAGAGAGCAGGUCUUCUGUGCCUUUUAUAUUUGUGUAGAAAUGCAAUUUUCUUUUCUUUUUUUUAAACUGCAUUUGCUGAAGUUCCCUACCCUAUAUGGUACUCUGCUUUCCAUUACAUAUCAUUCCCCAUCUCUGUGCUACUCCAAGAAAUGGUAUAAAGAAUAUGCCAGGCCUAUCCUAGAGCCAUUUGGUCCACAGCAAGUUUUCAUGAAAGCAAUAAAUAGUUUUAACUAAUGCAUACAUAUAUGGCACUAGGAAUAACAAAACAACCUACAUCACAUGUUUAAGAAACACUGAACAAGCUCACACCUUGGUUUAUCAUUCAGAUGUAGAUAUGAUUUGUUUUGUGCACAUAUGGGUGGGGGGGGGGGGAGGAAAUAAUUAGACAAAGCCCUGGCUACAGCAGUUUCAUCAUUCAAGAAGUGCCUUUGACCUUGAGAACUAAACUGACCCAUUUUAUCGAGUUUGCAUCAUUUGAACAAAAGAAGGGGAAGCUUAUUUUCUAUAUAAAAGUCACAGUAUGUUUGUUUGGUCCGAAUCCAUCAAACUCCUAUUUGGCUUGAUGGACCUGGACCAAACUUGUCACACACACACUUCAUUACCCAACUUAAAAUAAUUGAAGGGUUUGGCAAAGGGGGCUGAUAGAAGUUUAUGCGAGUUUUAGUCCUGGAUAGCCAUAUGAAUCCCACCAACCAUCGAUCUUGACCAAACUUGGUACAUAAGGUACCUCAUGGUCUAACUUAGUGGGGUUUAGUUGGAGCCUCAUAGAGGAUUAGUUGGAAUCCAGCCAUAUCCAGAGACCUGCAUCAUUGCCAGUUCCAACUCGGCUAGAUCCGGAGUUGAUUACAUUUCCAGAUGGCCCGAUCUGGGUCUGAUGAGAGUUGGACCUGCCCACAUUUGGGAAUGAUGAGAGUUCCAGCCAGCUAGAUCUGGGCCUGAUGGGAUUUGCAGAUGGGCCGAUCUAGGGCUUAUAUUCAAGCUAAUAACUGUUUAAUUUCAUAAAAUGUAUAUCAAUAUACUCUACUUACAUUGCAGCUUUUCCAUCAGCGUUUGUGAAGAAACAGAUUGCAUAUAAAAUGAUUGUAGUUUUAGCCAAGACUCUGGUUGAAGUCAUAUUAGCUAUGGGGGAUGAAGUUGACAGUUGUUAGUCUGUAUUUUAUUACUGUACUUUAACUACUUGUUAAAUUUGAAUAAUAUAAGUAGCAAAAAAGGGUUUGUCACAGGUAGCAAUGCUGGCUAUUGCAACUGUUAUUAUAUUACUCCAGUGUAAAAAUAUCAUAUUCAUAUUCCAGAUAAAGAAGGGAUGAUGUGCUUCGUAAAACUCCAGAAGAAGAAUGUGAAACUAGUAUCACAUGUGAUGCUACUGUACCAGAUCUCCCACUGUAUUUAAUGUUAAAAUGUUUGUAAUCACAAUUUUUUUUACACUUAAACAUGCAUUCAGGCAAUGCCCCCAUUAAUCCUGAAGUACAGCAAGCAUCACACAUGAUAAGAGAAGGAAUCUAUGUUUGGAUGGUGUCUGGACACAUAUAGAACAAGCCAUUCAUUUUAAUGAAUCCAUUCCUAAGGUCAGAGUCACACAUAGUAGAAUGAUUGAAAUAAUCAUGUUAAAUCAUAUAAGAAAUGUUUCUUUAGCCCACUAGCCCACUAUUUCCAUUUUUAUUUGGAGUCCCUUCAGAAACACAUGGGAAGAUGCUACACUUUUUCAUGGCUUGCCCAACAAAGCUGUAUUCCAACAUAAUAUGCCUCUGAAUAUGGAUGUCCCAUUUGUUUGUCAUCAUUAAUAGCUAUAGAUCAGAGCUUGAAAGAGUUUUUGAACUCUGACUCCCAAAAUUCCCAAGAUGGCAUGGCCAUGGAUCAAGGAUUCCGGGACUUCCAGUCAAAAACCUUUUCCAACUUUGCUAUGAGUUAGCCUAUUCCUGACAGAACUGAUCCUUUUCCUAAGCUAAUCAUUUACAUGUAGUGAAAAUAUAACUACAGUAGCAUCUCACUUAUCCAACAUUCACUUAUCCAACGUUCUGGAUUAUCCAACACAUUUUUGUAGUCAAUGUUUUCAAUACAUCAUGAUAUUUUGGUGCUACAUUCAUAUAUACAGUAAUUACUACUUAGCAUUACUGCAUAUUGAACUACUUUUUCUGUCAAAUUUGUUGUAUAACACGAUGUUUUGAGGCUUAAUUUGUAAAAUCAUAACCUAAUUUGAUGUUUAAUAGGUUUUUCCUUAAUCCCUCCUUAUUAUCCAACAUAUUUGCUUAUCUAAUGUUCUGCUGGCCCGUUUAUGUUGGAUAAGUGAGACUCUACUGUAUUCAUUUUGUUAGUUGUGAAUUUACAGCCAAUAUAUUUUUCUAGAUUUUUCUGGAUAUGGCUAAAAUAAAUAUAAAUAAUAGAUGUCUUGAUAGUAUAGACUGAAUGAGUGUAUCCAAAACUGAAUAGGUGGUAUCCAGCAUAUUGCUAGCUUACAAACCAGGUUAUGUUUAGACAAAACUUUUAAACAACUUUUGGCAUGUGUUUGUGUGGUUGAUUACAAAGAAAUGCCUCAGGGACACUCCAAAACAGCCACGGAUUGGGUGGGGAGGCAGGAUGCAAAACAGGAGUCAUAAGUCAAAAACUAAUAUUUUAAAGAAAUAUUUUUAGUUUGUUUUAAAGGUUUCAUCUAGGUAUUGAAGUAUUAAAUAUUUCUGUCUGUAAUACAUCACCUCAUAAAUAAAUGAAUAGCUUAAUUUUAAGUAUAAUUUUGUCUUCCACUUUGCAUUAAUUGAGAACAUAGGUGUAUUCUGUUCCUUAAUGAAAUAUUUUGAUAAACUGUGCAGCAGUUUUGAAAUAAAAUGCUGAAAUCCUUUAUUUCAAAACCAGCCAAAUCUGUGGAUCAACCAUUUAGUCCCAUUGUAGCCAGCAUAGUGUAGGGCACCAUGGUUUGAAUUCCUGUUCAAAUCAUAAACAACAUUUCGUGACUUUGGGCAGGACUCUGGGGAAGGCAAUGGCAAACUGCUCUGAAUAAAUCUUGCCAUGAAAAUCCUAGUAUAGGGACACUAUAAGACAGCAUACACUUGAAGACAUAACCACAACAGUUCAAUUAUUUGGGUAUGAGUGAUGUGCAUAACGCUGUCUCCAAAAUACUGAGUUGUCAAAGUACUAAAUGCAAGUUAAUGCCCUUGUCUUUCAACAUCACAGACAAACCAAAGGCUUGUCCAAUCUCCUGUUUCCUUACGUCCUAAAUGUCACUCAGAUUUUCAUUCAUAAGUGAAAUUUCAACAAAUCUUUUGUUUUACCUCUAUACCUAUGUAUGAGUGUCAUUGUCAGAUAAGAAAUUACCUUUUCUUGCUGCUUUUAUCAUUAAAGAUGAUAGGCUGAAAAAUUCGGUCAUUAGAAAACUGAUGUCAAUACAAUUGCACUGCAAUCAAUGGAGGUUUCACAGUUUGGAAUUGUAUUAUAGGCUUAGUGUAGACUCAUAUCACACAGUUCAAUUCAGUGAAACCGUAUUGUAUGAGUCUAUACUGAUCAUAUAAUGCAAAUCCAAAAUGCAUUAUAUAGCAGUGUAAGUGGGACUUGAGAUCACAGUUUGAGCAAUAUUACUUCCUUUGAUGCAAGAAUAAGAAAGAAAUAACAAGUGCAAUUCUACAGCAAUGUUUGAAUUUUUAAAGAAUUGUGAUACUGAUUAAAUAAAUCACUGGUUAAAUACUUAUUGAGUCCACAUUUUGAGAUGAAUAGACUGUAAAUAUUAUAAAUAUACUAAAGUAUUUUAAUAAGUCUGUUGUGUAUUAUUUUUGUUUUUCCAACAUAAGAAUGCCUGCAGUUUCAAUCUUUGACCUAGUGUGAAAUAUAAAUGGUUAUGUGUUCCAAUUUAUUUAUUUAUUUUUAAAACCCUAUUCAAUAUGUUUCCUCCCUCAUAAAAUGUUUAAUUUUCCAAAUGGAUGUUUUCAGAAAUGUUGUUUAAAUUAAAAACUAAAUGACACAUUUCUAUUACCAUCUGUUAAUUACAAAGUUAAUUACAAUGAAUAAAGCAAGCAAUGUUAUAAUAAUCAAUUCCAGAGUAAAAUAAAAUGUUCUUACCAAGUUGCUCCUUCAGCUGGUUCGUCGUUUAGGUAUGCCAGCAACUUUCAGAAGUUGGUCUAAAGUCUGCUUAAUUGCUCUAGAGAACUCCUUAAAUGUAACUUUAAAAUAGACCCUCUAAGUAACUAAGCAGCCCUUUUAUUGUCUCAGUUGAGGUCACUUUCCCAAACACACCCCCUGACCCUGAUACCACCCGUCAUGUUUCUUAAUGGGCCAUUGAGUGUAAAAGUCAAUAACCUGGGCAACACCAAAAGCAUUUGACUUUUAGAGAAUUUGAGCUGAAGGUUGGAAAAAUGCAUAUAAAGAAAUUAUGUCAUUGGGUUAAUUAAUUAAUGAUCGGUUUUAAAUGUUAAUGGGUCCAUAGAUGACUAAAAACAGUAACAUUUGUGGAAGGAUUCCAAAACCUACUAAAAUAAAUGGCAGACUAUAGCAUCCUAACAUGCCUGACACCAUUAAGGAAAAAGAAGCAUUCUACCAUUGUCCUGUUGAUCAUUUUGACCCAAAACAUUAAUCUUACACGUCACAAUACAUAGACCAACCUUGGAGCCUGACCUACGAUGCAAUGUGACAUCAAGAAUGAAUCAUGUUGAGAUUUGGGAAUUUUUUUUUUCUGGGUUGCUGUAUAGCCAUGUUCCAGAAGCAUUCUCUCCUGAUGUUUCACUGACGUCUAUGGCAGGCAUCCUAAGAGGUCAUGAGAUUUUUUCCCCUGUUUUUCCUGUACUAUAUUGAAAACAAUACAAUUACCUUCUUUCAGAAAAGAUAUAAGCCAAGUGGAACUGCUAUUAGUCUAGGUUUUGCAUUCUAACAUGAUAGUGCCAUGUAAGUGACAGUUGGAUUUCAAGGAAGUGAUGUUCAGUGUUCUGAUGCCACUGGAACAAAUUAGUUAUAAUUGAAGCAAAUACUACAUAUCUAUCCUCUUGGUUUUGUCCUAAAUAGAAAAGGGACAUUUGUUCUCUUUGGGAUUAGCCAUUAAGGAAUGUUUGCUUCUGGGGAAAUAUUUUGUUUCCUUGUUUUUUUUCAUGCAAAAGGAUUGAUUGACUCGCUAAUUUGAGUUACAGGUUGGGUAUCUCUUACCUAAAAUGCUUGGGAACAGAAGUGUUUUGUAUUUUUUCAUACCUAUUUGCAUAUACAUGCAUAAGGAGAUGGGAUUCAAGUCUAAACACAAAAUUCACAUACGUAUCACAUAUACUUUGUACACAUACCCCAAAAGUAAUUUUAUACACAAUAUUUUAAAUAAUUUUGUGCCUGAAACAAAGCUUGUAUACAUUGAACCAUCUGAAAGCACUAUCUCAGCCAUGUUUUGAAGUAUUUCAGUAUUUCAGAUAAGGAAUACUCAACCGGUAUCUGUAGCUCUUGAUUCUGCAUGGAAAUUGUUCAGUUCACCUAGUCUCUGUUUCUGGCAGAUGCCUGACAUAUUUAGAUUAGCCAUAUGGAUCUAGAUGAAUUAACUUGUUCUUUGAGAGAGAACAGAUUUUUGGAGCCAUUCAUUGAUAUAGUUCAGUAGUGUAUGACAACAGAUCAAUAAUAUGUGCAAAAAAGAGUUCUUAGCAUCACUUAUGAUAUUUGUCUUGCCACCCACAAACCUCUGUGUGUAAAUGUGUAUAAGGACCCCAUCAGAUGCAUUCUUCUGUGUGUCUUCUCUCCGUUUUUAGGCGCUGGCAAAACGAAGUCCCAUGGAGACCAUCUCAUGACGCAGGGCUACUUCCGGUGGCUGCCUGUGGGAAUCGGUAUUGCCAGUGCCUGAAAACGGAGAGAAGACUCCAUUUUCAGCAUAAAAUGGAGAGGAAGUGGGGAAAGCACGACAAAUGAUGGGAAAUUACACAGGAUGGCUGGCUAUCCCAGAAGACAGGGAAAGACAGUAGGAAACAAAGGAGGAUGGUUCCCUCAGCUUUCUCCCGCUUUCCUCCUGCCCACCUGAUGAGGUCCAAUGUCAACCUCAUGUAUUAAUUGAGGUGAUGUGACCCACAGAUAAAUAAAGGUCACUGUGGAGACAGGAGAUGGGACCGGUCCCACCUCAGGAGGCCAGUUGCUCCUGGCUCUUGCCAUCGUCAUUUUUUGACACAAAAUUCUAGAUGUAUACAUAUGUAUUUCUUCAAUUGUAAGAUUCCAUCAAUUGAAAGAUGUACCCUAAUUUCAGUACCACCACUACCACCAAUAAAACACAUAAGAUACAUCUGCAGUUCUAAGACGCACUGCAUUUUUAGAGGUGUUUAUAUAGGGAAAAUAGUGUGUCUUAGAAUCGAAGAAAUGUAGAAUAUCAGUAAAUGAAAUAGAAAUGGGCUUUAAAUAGGGAAUAGAGUACCUAACUAUAUAUAUUAAUGAACUCUGGAAAUAACUUAGUUCCUUACAGAACGUAAAAGAAAACAUUUAUUCAUUAUAUAUUUACUUGUUUCUGUCUUGCCUUGUAGGCUCCUAUCAUAAGCCUACCCGAUCCCUUCGUUCAUCAGGGGAAGCUUUCCUGUCCCCACUCCCAAUAUCCCAGACCCGCCUUUUCUGCUGUGGCCCCUCGAUUGUGGAAUUCUCUGCCCGCUGAGAUUAGGCAAGCCCCCACACUAGCAGCCUUCAAGAAAGACUUGAAAACAUGGCUCUUUCACUGUGCUUUUGGAGAGUAACCAUUUUAUAUUUCUUUUCCGUUGCUCCCUCUAAUAUCUAUCCUCCAGAAUACCCCACUCCCUUAUGAUCCUGUUCGCUGUGGUUUUUAUUUUUAUGUCUUUCUCACCCAGAGUUUUAACUUAAUGUUCAUGUGGUCUGCCCUUGUUUUCAUUGUCUCCUUGUUUUACUUUGUAAUUGAUAUUAUUAUUUAUUGUAUUGCUUAUUGUAUUGUGAUGUGCUGUUCUUUUAUAUGUUGUUUACAUUGUAAUGUUUUGGGCAUGGCCCCAUGUAAGCCGCCCCGAGUCCCCGUUGGGGAGAUGGUGGCGGGGUAUAAAUAAAGUUUUAUUAUUAUUAUUAUUGCUUUCUCACAACAAUUAAGACUUGCAGCUGCACAUAUGAUUAAAAACAGAGAAAGAAAGAAAUUUCAAUUGUCAAUGUUUGUUUUUACUUUUGUUUACAUUUUGUUACUUUCUUUAUGGUGUGCAUCAUAUACAUAUUCAACAAUUCAAGACAAUACACCAUGCUAUCUACAUUUUGAAAGUUUUCUUGUGUACAGUUAUAUGCCCAAAGACAUCUAGGCAAUCUGGAUCCCUGUGUGAAAGUUGAAAUGAAAACCUAGUUUUUGUAUAUGUAAUACAUAUGAAGAAUUGCUUCACUAUGGAAGUUCAUAUUAAUCUCAGAGAUGUUAGGGUGCAACAUACACUGUGGCACACAAUGGUGUCAACCUAUUUCAGCUGCUUUUAAAAUAUCCCAGUUUUUCUCCCCUAAUCUCCUAUCUUGACCACAUUCUUGAUGUUUUUUGGACACAGGUGACCUGACUUUCAUUUGUGAGAUGUGGAAGAAUAUAUUUUAUGUUGUUUCAUCGUGACAGUGUUGUUCCUAAAUAGAGCUGUUUUGCAGGGAGAAAUAGGAUUUUUUGCUAAAUAAGAAUGCUAAUAACUAGAAAGUGUUAGGAAAGAUAAAAAGGCAAAAUGACUAAGACAAACAGACUUAUGUGUGAGUAGAAAAUAUUCAGGUGUCAUCACCUCUUGCUCUGAUUUCUAAUUCGAGGAAAGAGCUUUGACGUAAAUACUUAUCCCACAUCACUGCAUCCCCUGUCCUUAAAACCAUUAUUAAUCUACAAAAUCUAUAAAUAUAAGUGGAAAUGAACAACAAUUUGAUAAAAUGACGUUAACUAGGAUAUCAUAUUUAAUAGUUGAGGUCAGUAGGCGUUUCUGAAGGACAGGGCAUGCAGCGUAGAGAUGCUGGUGUCACAUUAUAGCUGAGCACAUCUUUUUCUCAGAAAAGCUGAAUAUCCUUCACUGACCUUCACAAAAGUAGCAGAGCAGAACAUGAAAAAUUGUUGCUGCCAUGGUUCUUUUAAGAAUGACACAUUGACACACAAUUGUACAAUACCAGGUUCGAUGCAAGAAGGCAAAUCACAUUGAUUUAGAUUUUCCCCAUUAUACUAAAUCUGCAUAUUUUAACAUCAAUUGGAAGAGGUGGAUAUUUAAUAUUUUCAGUAUUUUUACUUUCCAUUUUCUUCACGUGGAAAGUGAAAAGGUCAACGUAUCAGUUUACUGUUAUUUUCUCAUGAUGUGAUCCUGUAAAUCAAAGACUUCACAUAAGAGUUGAAAAUCUUACUUUUUAAGAAAUUACAUACAACACCCAAUGUAUUGCUUGUUUUGUUCUUUAAAAAUGGUUAUCUCAUUAUAUAUUACUGUUUAUAACUCAGUAAUUGUUGUUUAUUCGUUCAGUCGCUUCUGACUCUUCGUAACCUCAUGGAACAGUCCACGCCAGAGCUCCCUGUGGGCCGUGGCUACCCCCAGCUCCUUCAAGGUCAAGCCAGUCACUUCAAGGAUAUCAUCCAUCCAUCUCGCUCUUGGUCGGCCCCUCUUCCUUUUUCUUUCCAUUUUUCCCAGCAUCAUUAUCUUAUCCAAGCUUUCCUGUCUUCUCAUUAUGUGGCCAAAGUACUUCAUCUUUGCCUUUAAUAUCCUUCCCGCCAGUGAGCAGUCGGGCAUUACUUCCUGUAGUAUGGACUGGUUUGAUCUACUUGCAGUCCAAGGAACUCUCAGAAUUUUCCUCCAACACCACCAUUCAAAUGCAUCUAUCUUCCUUUGCUCAGCCUUCCUUAUGGUCCAGCUCUCGCGUCCAUAGGUUACUGUGGGGAAUACUAUUGCUUUAACUAUGUGGACCUUCAGUGCCAGUGUGAUAUCUCUAUUCUUUACUAAUACUUCAGUAAUACUUAAAAAAAAAAGACAAGGAAGAAAAAUGUAAACAUUUUUGUCUCUCCAUAAUGUAAAGUCUAAAAUAGCAAAAUAACACACUGCAUUGGAUUAGUUUUUGGCUUCUUGUCCAUAUCAAUGGGAAGACCUGGAUGUGUUUACUAAUAAUGCCAUACCGGGAAAAGGGAGUAGUAAAUGGUGACACAUUGGAUGGUUGUAGUGAGGCAACCAUUCUAAAUACGUCUGAGGAAUGUUUUCCUGGGGAUCUGAAGGAACAGUCAGUAAACUUGUUAGAUCUUUGUUUGAGUGACAGGAUUUGUGGCUGCUCAAAUACCUCAUCAGCAUGCCUCGCCAAUAAUGUAAUCAAUAUGAUGUAGCCUCGGGUGUCUCUUGUACAUCACUUGUUAGUUAAACAAGCUUUCAGUGAAGAAAAAGCAUUGACAUUUUUGUGCCUAUCAAAAAAUUAGCAAAUGCAAUGGCUGAAUGAUUCAUUACUUUAUCAAAAGCAAUUAAUCAUUAUAUUACUAUUGUUAUUGUUAAUAUCAUUAUUAUUUCUACCCCACUUUAUGUCUCUAAAAAGAGCUCCAGAAUAAAUGCUUGAAUCAAUGAUGUACCCAGAUACUAGUUUGAUGCUUCUGUACUACAAAAGAAAUAAAGGAAACCAAUAGAACAGGCUAAGUGGUUCUUAGUCUUUGAUCCCCCAGGUAUUUGGGACUUUACUCCCAGAAGCCCCAACCAGCUUGGUCAACAAUUCUGGGACCUGAAGGCCAAAACAACUGGAGGACCAAAGACCAGGAAUGACUGCUUUCUGACAUCUAGGGAUUGAACAGAGCUCACUAUCCUUGCAGAUGUGCUACAAAGGGUUGACCAUACUUAUUGACAAAAAGCAUAAUUGUCCCUCUUCAAAAAAUUGCCAUUUUACCAUAUAUUAUUUGCACCUUCCUAUUGUAUAGUGUAAAUUAUUUUCUAGUAUGUAUUAAUUUUGCCAUUCUUGUUAGAAGCAGGUUUUCUGUGAACACAAUGGAGAUCUUUGCUUAACAGAGGACCCAACUGUGUAACAAGAACUAAUAAUCAUUGAAGAUUGUUUUUUUUAAAUCAGUACCUAUCAUGACAAUACACAAUAAAGGAUGACUAAUUAUGCAAAAUCCCUGUUUGCCCUGGGAACUUACUACAAAGGCUUGCAAGGGAUACAAAAACUCAGUAUUGGAAGGCAUGGUUAGGUUGGAUAGGAGUCAUGUGCAGUUUAGUCACCAGGAAGUUGUAUUCAUUAAUUUGUGCAAAAUAGGGGAAAGGAAAUCCAUCUGUUUUGCUUUCUCGCCCAUUCAAAUUUUGACAAUUUUGAUAAAUUCCCAGUUUAAAAAAAGAACUGAAAUGAAACACUUACUCACCUUUAGUGCUGAAUAUGCUAUGUUUGGAAAAUUGGUUAGUGAAUGUAUCAGUCUGCUGCAUGCAUACCAUUUCCCACUUUCUUUGCAUAGAGUCUCCUACAGCAUUACAUAGUUGUUUUGAAACCUAAAUGGGGAACUCUGGUUACCUCACCUCUCGUUAAUGAGAAGAAUCCCAGGCGUGAUGAGGCUCACUAGAAAAAUGCAGUUAAAAGACAGUCGUGGAGAUGAGCUUCACUUAUUUGUCUCAAAGAUUAGCUUCACUUAUUUGCCUAGUGAUCAAUGACUGAAAAAAGUUGUGUAUGAAAAUGACAAAAGUGUUACUGAAAUCCUACAUAUUCUACUUAUUCCAUAUGCAUUCAGCUCUUCUCUUUUAGUCUACUAUAUCAGGAGCCUCCGGUGCCGCAAUGGGUUAAAUCCUUAUGCCGGCAGUUCUUCUGACUGACAGGUCGGCAGUUCGAAUCUGCAGACAGUGGGUGAGCUCCCUCUGUUAACCCCAGCUCCCCAUGCAGGGACAUGAGGGAAGUCUCCCGCAAGGAUAGUAAAACAUCAAAUAUUGAGGCGUCCCCUGGGCAACGUCCUUGCAGACAGCCGAUUCUCUCACACAAGAAGCGACUUGUCAGUUGCUCCUGACACGAAAAAAGAGUCGACUAUAUUAAGAGAUUUUGUCCAUGCACAUAAAUGUAUAAGUCUAUUUAAUAUAUAUUUAACACAUAUGGGUGUAUUUGUGUUCUCAGAUUACCAAUUAAUGAUUUAUAAUUUGUCAAUACCCCAAUGAUGUUGUCUAGGAACCACUUGUUCCAGCCCUAUCGCUCUUAUUUGAUUGAGUCCCUCCUCUCUUCUUCUCCUUCUUGCCUCCAUGUUUCAGACUACAUUGAACAUUCUACCCAUCCCCUCUUUUCUAUGCCCUUCAGAGAGAUUGAAGAUUUCUUGGUUUCAUUUUAACUUUUCCAAGCAUCUGCAUCCAUUUACAGCAGGGUUCUCAAACGUUUUCAACCACAGAGCCUUUUUUGAAGCAGAAGUUUCUCGUGGAGCCCCAAGAAAUGUAUGUGUAUGUGUGUAUAAUAUAAUGUAUAUAUAUCAAGCAUGGACAAACUUU
Molecule: long non-coding RNA, 14064 nt
Organism: Anolis carolinensis (green anole)
Lineage: Eukaryota; Metazoa; Chordata; Lepidosauria; Squamata; Anolidae
Exons: 4
Source: RefSeq, a predicted model, not a curated record